AACGAACGCUGGCGGCAUGCCUAACACAUGCAAGUCGAACGAGACCUUCGGGUCUAGUGGCGCACGGGUGCGUAACGCGUGGGAACCUGCCCUUAGGUUCGGAAUAACUCAGAGAAAUUUGAGCUAAUACCGGAUAAUGUCUUCGGACCAAAGAUUUAUCGUCUUUGGAUGGGCCCGCGUAGGAUUAGCUUGUUGGUGGGGUAAUGGCCUACCAAGGCGACGAUCCUUAGCUGGUCUGAGAGGAUGAUCAGCCACACUGGGACUGAGACACGGCCCAGACUCCUACGGGAGGCAGCAGUGGGGAAUAUUGGACAAUGGGCGAAAGCCUGAUCCAGCAAUGCCGCGUGAGUGAUGAAGGCCUUAGGGUUGUAAAGCUCUUUUACCAGGGAUGAUAAUGACAGUACCUGGAGAAUAAGCUCCGGCUAACUCCGUG
RNAcentral lists this ribosomal RNA (433 nucleotides) under uncultured bacterium. Its description in RNAcentral is "partial 16S ribosomal RNA". It matches the Rfam family "Bacterial small subunit ribosomal RNA", at positions 29 to 507 of the family's 1533-position model. The record is from RNAcentral.